UGGGGAAUUUUGGACAAUGGGCGAAAGCCUGAUCCAGCAAUGCCGCGUGUGUGAAGAAGGCCUUCGGGUUGUAAAGCACUUUUGUCCGGAAAGAAAUCCUUGGCUCUAAUACAGUCGGGGGAUGACGGUACCGGAAGAAUAAGCACCGGCUAACUACGUGCCAGCAGCCGCGGUAAUACGUAGGGUGCAAGCGUUAAUCGGAAUUACUGGGCGUAAAGCGUGCGCAGGCGGUUUGCUAAGACCGAUGUGAAAUCCCCGGGCUCAACCUGGGAACUGCAUUGGUGANUGGCAGGCUAGAGUAUGGCAGAGGGGGGUAGAAUUCCACGUGUAGCAGUGAAAUGCGUAGAGAUGUGGAGGAGUACCGAUGGCGAAGGCAGCCCCCUGGGCAAGUACUGACGCUCAUGCACGAAAGCGUGGGGAGCAAACNGGAUUAGAUACCCUGGUAGUCCACGCCCUAAANGAUGUCACUAGUUGUUGGGGAUUCAUUUCCUUAGUAACGUAGCUAACGCGU
Molecule: ribosomal RNA, 511 nt
Filed under: uncultured bacterium
Lineage: Bacteria
Description: partial 16S ribosomal RNA
Rfam family: Bacterial small subunit ribosomal RNA
Source: RNAcentral